GUUACAGCCGCCUGUCUCUGGU
This 22-nucleotide microRNA is filed under the name Sus scrofa (pig). Its description in RNAcentral is "ssc-mir100". Lineage: Eukaryota; Metazoa; Chordata; Mammalia; Artiodactyla; Suidae. The record is from RNAcentral.